RNAcentral lists this long non-coding RNA (540 nucleotides) under Betta splendens (Siamese fighting fish). Its description in RNAcentral is "lncRNA (ENSBSLG00000006191.1)". Lineage: Eukaryota; Metazoa; Chordata; Actinopteri; Anabantiformes; Osphronemidae. The record is from RNAcentral.
AUGUUUCAUGUAAGUCAGUCCUGUAAAGUGAUAAAGAUACUGGCUAUUAUUUUAAAGCUUUGUGACCAUGGUCUUUGUCUACUUCACGGUUCUGCAGUAGCUGAACCAAAUCAUUGGAGACCAAUAGUUGGAGGAGUCACAGGAGUUUCUGUGUUCAUCUGUGUGGUCUGUGCCAUUUGGUGGUUAAAGUUCAAGCAUCCAUCUUCACAUGAGGCACAGACUCUAACAGGUGAAGUCCUGGCUCUUCGUAAUCCAGUAAGACCUGUAGAAGAAACUAUCCAUUAUGGAGAGCUGGACUUCUCCAUGCGGAGGCCUGAACCAUCCUCUGACCCGAGGCAGAAUGGUGCACAGCAGAACACCGUGUACGCUCAGGUCCAAGUGUCCAACAACAGCAAAACACAGUCAGAUGACGACCAAGAGAACCUCUACACUCAAGUUAAGAAUUAGUUCAUGAUUUUAGAUAAAUGAAUUACCUGAAUUUAAAACAGGGAAACACAAUGAAUGGUUUGAUUCAGUUAAUAAAAGGAAUUCCAUCUUCCA